RNAcentral lists this ribosomal RNA (531 nucleotides) under uncultured bacterium. RNAcentral describes it as "bacterial SSU rRNA". It matches the Rfam family "Bacterial small subunit ribosomal RNA", at positions 40 to 507 of the family's 1533-position model. The record is from RNAcentral.
CGGCGUGGAUUAGGCAUGCAAGUCGAACGGUAUAAACCUUCGGGGUUUAGAGAGUGGCGAACGGGUGAGUAACACGUAGGUAAUCUACCCUCAAAACGGGGACAACCCAGGGAAACUUGGGCUAAUACCGGAUGCGUGCAAACAAUGUUUUGGCUGUUGUAAUUAUUCACGGAAGUGGAUAGUUAUGAGAGUUUCAGAGCAUAAUUUGCAUAAAAGGUGGCGUAAGCUGCCGUUUGAGGAUGAGCCUGCGUCCUAUUAGUUAGUUGGUGAGGUAAUGGCUUACCAAGGCGAUGAUAGGUAGGCGGCCUUAACGGGUGGUCGCCCACACUGGGAUUGAGAUACGGCCCAGACUCCUACGGGAGGCAGCAGUCGAGAAUAGUCUACAAUGGACGAAAGUCUGAUAGUGCGACGCCGCGUGAACGAAGAAUCCUUUCGGGGUGUAAAGUUCUUUUCUAUGUGAGCAGUUCCUUUUAUAUGAAGAGUAUAGAAGGUGGGAUUUAAGCAUAGGAAUAAGCAACGGCUAACUCCGUG